UGUGUGCUCUCAGGUCCGCACAACACUCACCCCUUACUGUCUCACAGCCACGCCCAUCAAAGCAAAGGUGGUAAAACAUAGUAAUGACCUCAGCCACCCAGCGCUGACCACAUAAAGGCUCUCCCCUCGCACAUCAAUGCCAGCGACUCUGUGACCUGGCAGUGAAGUGCCGAACAAGUUCCAGUCACACAGCAGGGGCUGCCCAGAGUCCCUACUCUUAAGAGCACUGUUCUCUUUGAUAGUCUGAGGACUUUUCACUUUCAUCCAGUUUUCCCAAUAUCCACACAGUUCUUUAGAGCUCUCUUUUAAUUAACAGUUUCUGUCUCUGAUUUUUAAAGCUUUUGUGAGAAAUGGCCUCCAAAAUUAUAGUAAAAUAGUAAGUAUAAACUGCUCAUUUUAAAAAUAAAAGUACAGACUAUAUAUAUUUUCAAUAUAAUUAGUGGAAGUCAAGUUCAGCAUGAACUGAUGGCAUUUACAGUAGAAUCGUGAUUAUGGAAUAUGUAGAUUCUAAAAGCAAUGUCAAACAUUGUAAAAUAGAGAAUUUUCUCUACCUAUAACUAUAGUAUUUUGAUAUUUUCUAUACUAACAUACUUUUUUCUAUAUUAGAAUUUUGUGACUCUCCAAUAUAAAGUUUUUAUUUUAGUAUUAAAUUUUCAGCUACAGAGGCUUUGAGAAAAAAAAUUGAUCUAGGCUAAGAAUCUGAAGGAAGGCUGAUUGUAAUCUAAUAAUAGCAAGCGGAAAUAACAAUGCAAUUGAGAAGCAAAACCUAAAUGAAAACAGUGUUGUUAGUUCUGAGGCAAGAGCACUAAACUAUAAAUGUAUAAACUACAUGACUCACAGCGAACGCCGUCUAAGGAGACAGUCCUCUGUAUCGACAGCAUGAUGCUGCAUCUUGAUAGUCUUCCACAAAGAAAAGAACCACUAACAGAAACUAAGUUCAUGGCUACUCUCUGCUCUGCACAAGGCCUGUCAACCACACUAAAGUCUGAGAUGUAUGCUGUUUCCCAGGCUCCUGACGACUGUGGUCUCGGCAAGUCACGGGCACCCUAUGGAGCUCCACUUCCCAGGCUCACACACAUGGUGCUUCAGAGGGAAGUGGCAUCUGACAGCAGCAUGCCAGGACACACAAAUGUCACACAUGCUACGCAGAUCCAGAAAACAAAAAUCAUAAAAUCAGCUAAUGGAGACUGCAACGCCAUGGAAAACUAGGAAAGAGCACGGUUAACACAUAACUAAGAAACAAAACAAUUACUAAUAAUUUUUCGCUAAAGAGCCUCCAAACCUAGAAUUACUCCAUUCCUAUGGUUAAAGAUAUGAGUAUCAUGUCAGCCGGAACUGUAAAAGAGUGAAGACUCGUCUCUACGGGGACACCGUAACAAUAAACGAACACCCAAGAACCGGAUCCCACUGACUUCCCAGGUGAUACUUACCUAAUCUUUAUAAAUUAUAUAAAUUAUGUGCUACGUUAUGGAUUUCCUACAUUCUUUCUGUGAUCUCUAGGUCCCAGAACAGUAGAAGCCCUCGGUCUAGUUACACUGCGGAACAGUAAACUACAAAGGCAGCAGCACAUAAGGCUGUGAACCCAGUAGGCUGCUUACAGGCUCUACUCAAGGACUUGCAAGUCUAAAUCUGGAAAGAUCAAACCAUGGCGGCAUGGCGAGCCCUGUAAAAGGGUCUGGAUGCACAGGCUGAGAACUAACACUUCAGAGCCUUUACUGACAGGACAAAGAAGGCAGAAGAGAGCUUAGUGAAGGCGGCGAGCAAGGGUGCAGCUGGAGAGCUCUAAGAGCCUGGAUUUUUUUAAAUUCUUAGCAAGCAGCACUAAGCCAGUGCCGACCAAACUGCACUCCAACAAUAAAGUCAGCACACACCAACUGCAGCAUCGGGACCUAAGCACGACUGUCGGAAACUGCCCUGUAUUAUACAGAAGUGAACGGUAAGUGUUUGAUGGGCUUACAGGUUACAAACACAAAGGUGGGAACUGGACAAAGUUAGCAGGGGCCUCUCAGAUGGAGUCACUGUACAAAAAGAACAAGGAUGGUAAUUUAAUGAAACUGCACCUGCUUGCUUUCGUGGUGUUGGUGAUUAAGCCAAGAGCUUCAGCAGACGACCAUAAAAGCACUCACCAAGCUCCAGUUUACGAGGGUUGCUGUGUUCUCUUGACAUGUUUUUUGGUAACUAAUUUCUUUUUUUUUUUUUUUUUUUUUGGUUCUUUUUUCCGGAGCUGGGGACCGAA
Molecule: non-coding RNA, 2236 nt
Organism: Rattus norvegicus (Norway rat)
Lineage: Eukaryota; Metazoa; Chordata; Mammalia; Rodentia; Muridae
Source: RefSeq, a predicted model, not a curated record